CUGACCCUGCAUUAGGUAGAGGUAUGUACAUAAUUUUACAAGAACUCUUAAGCAUUUCUAAAUGGCUGAAGGUCUAGUUCAUGAAAAGUUUCAUGAAAGUUUUUCUUCUGUUUUGUGAAGAUAUGAUAUAAACUAAGAGAACUGUAGACCAUAGAACUGUAACAUUACAUAGACUUUCUUCCAUUUAAGGCAGACUCCCCAAAUGUACACACCAUAUUAGAGUUCAGAAUAAUGGUGCUUUGUAUUUAACCAAAAUUCAGUCAAGAUACUGAAUUAAAGAAGGCAUCUGGAAUUUUAUACAAGUGAUAUGUUUACAGGAGAAGAAUUUAUUUGGGGGCGCCUGGCUGCCUCAGUCAGUGGAGCAUGCAACUCUUGACCUAGGGAACGUACGGUUUACUUAAAAAUCUUAAAAAAAAAAAAAAAAAAAAAAAAGAAACCCCUCAUUUGGUGGUUCUCGGAAAAGGCCUAAAAUAAAAUGGCACGAAGAUGCCAUUUUAGCAUAGUGCUUCCUUCAGGAUAAGAAACUUUAAGGAAAGCCUACUGGAAAGAGCACACUGUUGGCCUUCAGUCAAAAAAGAUUAGAACUUACUCAAAGUUCUACUGUGCAUGCAUGCAGGGAAAGGUAAUUCUGAUAAAUCGCUAAGACUCCCACGACACAGUACUACGUGCUCGGGGGGAUGAGGCGCGCCUGUAACCGGACGAAGAUGGCUGUUCAACGCCAGCAGCAGGUGAACCGCUGUUUCCUAGCCAGACGUGCGGACACCUGACGGGAACACUAGCACUGGCUGCUGAUUUAUGAAGUGGAAGGCCAGGACUCGGUGUCUUAAGCUAGAGUACCAUCUGUCCCUCUCCCUCGAUCCCAGGAGAAAUCUCCCAGAGAGACGCGGCACCACAGAGGAGCUCCGCCGCGAGUUUUCGGAUGGCGGGCGGACGGCGGGCGAGCGCAGGUUUCUAAAAUGGAAGGCCAGCAACAAAACAAAUGGAUCAAGUGAUGCUCUGUCCACUUAGCAGAAUGUUCCCGGUCUUAUGCUGAGGAAAACGUGAAGAAACGAACAGAAGGGCAAGUGCACUUUGGCUUUAACAGAUAUCCAUCUGUUGGCAACGUCCGUUUUGCACCUGAGCCUUUGGACAGAGGCAAAAAAAGCCCAUUCACCACGGCUCCUCUGUCCUGGAGGAGAGAGAACAAAUCACACCAAAGAGAUACUCAGGAGGGCUGGGUGGCUCCCUCCCAGGGUGACAGGAGGCGAAAGAUGGAUCUAUGACCUGGGUCUGGCCCAUGUUUCUAGAGUAGAAUGCAAUGCUGGAAGGAACUUCGCCCUGACAAACCUACUUCAAUGGUUUAAUAAAACGGACUUUGCUGGAGAA
Long non-coding RNA from Felis catus (domestic cat), 1365 nucleotides. RefSeq lists it as uncharacterized. NCBI's taxonomy places the organism in Eukaryota, Metazoa, Chordata, Mammalia, Carnivora, Felidae. The record is from RefSeq and is a predicted model, not a curated record. The transcript has 2 exons.